ACCUUCUUGUUAUAGCACUGUGCUAAAAUUGCAGAAACCAAGGGUGAGCUUUGGUUUCUGUAGUAAUGCUAGCAGAGUACAUGCAAGAAGAAGAAGAACUGCACUGAAUCAAAAAAGACUAGGGUGGACCUCUUUCUUAAUGUCCGCUGUCCUGUGUCUUAAGAUUUGGUGCAACAGUU
Molecule: small nucleolar RNA, 179 nt
Filed under: Melopsittacus undulatus (budgerigar)
Lineage: Eukaryota; Metazoa; Chordata; Aves; Psittaciformes; Psittaculidae
Description: Small nucleolar RNA SNORA81 (ENSMUNG00000008137.2)
Rfam family: Small nucleolar RNA SNORA81
Source: Rfam by way of RNAcentral